This 242-nucleotide ribosomal RNA is filed under the name uncultured bacterium. Its description in RNAcentral is "partial 16S ribosomal RNA". It matches the Rfam family "Bacterial small subunit ribosomal RNA", at positions 1259 to 1500 of the family's 1533-position model. The record is from RNAcentral.
GACCUGGAGCGAAUCUCAGAAAUAACGUCUCAGUUCGGAUUGUAGUCUGCAACUCGACUACAUGAAGCUGGAAUCGCUAGUAAUCGCGGAUCAGAAUGCCGCGGUGAAUACGUUCCCGGGUCUUGUACACACCGCCCGUCACACCAUGGGAGUCGGGAAUGCCCGAAGCCAGUGACCCAAGCGAGAGCAGGGAGCUGUCGAAGGCAGGCCGGAUAACUGGGGUGAAGUCGUAACAAGGUAAC